UGGGGAAUAUUGGACAAUGGGCGAAAGCCUGAUCCAGCAAUGCCGCGUGAGUGAUGAAGGCCUUAGGGUCGUAAAGCUCUUUUACCCGGGAUGAUAAUGACAGUACCGGGAGAAUAAGCUCCGGCUAACUCCGUGCCAGCAGCCGCGGUAAUACGGAGGGAGCUAGCGUUGUUCGGAAUUACUGGGCGUAAAGCGUACGUAGGCGGUUAUUCAAGUCAGAGGUGAAAGCCCGGGGCUCAACCCCGGAACUGCCUUUGAAACUAGAUAGCUAGAAUCUUGGAGAGGUCAGUGGAAUUCCGAGUGUAGAGGUGAAAUUCGUAGAUAUUCGGAAGAACACCAGUGGCGAAGGCGACUGACUGGACAAGUAUUGACGCUGAGGUACGAAAGCGUGGGGAGCAAACAGGAUUAGAUACCCCGGUAGUCCCUGAGCGGGCUGGCAAGGCGCAU
RNAcentral lists this ribosomal RNA (447 nucleotides) under uncultured bacterium. RNAcentral's name for it is "bacterial SSU rRNA". It matches the Rfam family "Bacterial small subunit ribosomal RNA", at positions 355 to 825 of the family's 1533-position model. The record is from RNAcentral.